This 440-nucleotide ribosomal RNA is filed under the name uncultured bacterium. RNAcentral describes it as "partial 16S ribosomal RNA". It matches the Rfam family "Bacterial small subunit ribosomal RNA", at positions 338 to 795 of the family's 1533-position model. The record is from RNAcentral.
CCUACGGGAGGCAGCAGUGGGGAAUAUUGCACAAUGGGGGAAACCCUGAUGCAGCGACGCCGCGUGGAUGAAGAAGUAUUUCGGUAUGUAAAGCUCUAUCAGCAGGGAAGAAAAUGACGGUACCUGACUAAGAAGCCUCGGCUAACUACGUGCCAGCAGCCGCGGUAAUACGUAGGGGGCAAGCGUUAUCCGGAUUCACUGGGUGUAAAGGGAGCGUAGACGGGCCGGCAAGUCUGAAGUGAAAGGGAGGGGCUUAACCCGUGAACUGCUUUGGAAGAUGUCAUGCUAGAGUGCUGGAGAGGUAAGUGGAAUUCCUGGUGUAGCGGUGAAAUGCGUAGAUAUUAGGAGGAACACUAGUGGUGAAGGCGGCUUACUGGACAGUAACUGACGUUGAGGCUCGAAAGCGUGGGGAGCAAACAGGAUUAGAUACCCCAGUAGUC